GCGAGGGUAGCCAAGCUUGGUCAAAGGCGCGGGAUUCAAGAUCCCGUCUCUAGAAGUUCGCGGGUUCAAAUCCCUCCCCUCGCACCA
This 87-nucleotide transfer RNA is filed under the name Thermoplasmata archaeon. Its description in RNAcentral is "tRNA-Leu". It matches the Rfam family "tRNA". Rfam says of the family: Transfer RNA (tRNA) molecules are approximately 80 nucleotides in length. The record is from RNAcentral. Lineage: Archaea; Methanobacteriati; Thermoplasmatota; Thermoplasmata.